Amblyraja radiata (thorny skate) is the source of this 465-nucleotide long non-coding RNA. RefSeq lists it as uncharacterized. Lineage: Eukaryota; Metazoa; Chordata; Chondrichthyes; Rajiformes; Rajidae. The record is from RefSeq and is a predicted model, not a curated record. The transcript has 4 exons.
AUGUCAGUGGCUGUAAGAAGGUUACAGAUACAGGAGUUCAGGCUAUAGCUUUGAGCUGCCGCAAGUUGCAAUAUCUGGACCUUAGUUCCACGGGAACUGGCAAAUAUGGAAUUUGUUUACUUGCAUCUUAUUGCAAUCAGAACUUGGAAUGUGUGAAACUCAGCUUCUGCAAAGAAAUAACUGAAGAUGCCUUAAAAAAAUUGUGUAGAAACUGCAAACAACUAAAGUUGGUUCAUCUCUAUGGAUGCCAAUCUGUCCAUAAUCUGAAGGCAAUUCAGGCCGUGAACAAGCAAGUGAAGUUGCACCAUGAUCGUCCACCCUGCAGUGCCAAAGAUCAAGAAUGUUAAAAACAUGCAUGUAAAGAUCACUGAUGUAAUGCCAUAUUUUGGCAUAGGUGCUCCCACACAAUGCAUCACCAUGCCAACCAUGAAGAGAUUCUUACUGUGGUUGAAAGGAACUGUGCUA